ACUCCUGCGGGAGGCAGCAGUAGGGAAUCUUCCACAAUGGGUGCAAACCUGAUGGAGCAAUGCCGCGUGAGUGAAGAAGGUCUUCGGAUCGUAAAGCUCUGUUGUUAGAGAAGAACACGUGCUAGGUAACUACUAGCGCCUUGACGGUAUCUAACCAGAAAGUCACGGCUAACUACGUGCCAGCAGCCGCGGUAAUACGUAGGUGACAAGCGUUGUCCGGAUUUAUUGGGCGUAAAGGGAGCGCAGGCGGUCUGUUUAGUCUAAUGUGAAAGCCCACGGCUUAACCGUGGAACGGCAUUGGAAACUGACAGACUUGAAUGUAGAAGAGGAAAAUGGAAUGCCAAGUGUAGCGGUGGAAUGCGUAGAUAUUUGGAGGAACACCAGUGGCGAAGGCGAUUUUCUGGUCUAACAUUGACGCUGAGGCUCGAAAGCGUGGGGAGCGAACAGGAUUAGAUACCCCAGUAGUCCC
Molecule: ribosomal RNA, 469 nt
Filed under: uncultured organism
Description: partial 16S ribosomal RNA
Rfam family: Bacterial small subunit ribosomal RNA
Source: RNAcentral